UUGCACCAGUUGUGCGCUGCGGUUGCUGCGCGCCGUCCGCACCCAACUGACGACCGCCCGAAGUUUUAGUAGCC
This 74-nucleotide small RNA is filed under the name Xanthomonas vasicola pv. vasculorum NCPPB 895. RNAcentral describes it as "sX9". The record is from RNAcentral. Lineage: Bacteria; Pseudomonadati; Pseudomonadota; Gammaproteobacteria; Lysobacterales; Lysobacteraceae.